RNAcentral lists this ribosomal RNA (468 nucleotides) under uncultured bacterium. RNAcentral's name for it is "partial 16S ribosomal RNA". It matches the Rfam family "Bacterial small subunit ribosomal RNA", at positions 28 to 507 of the family's 1533-position model. The record is from RNAcentral.
GACGAACGCUGGCGGCGUGCUUAACACAUGCAAGUCGAACGGAAAGGCCCUGCUUUUGUGGGGUGCUCGAGUGGCGAACGGGUGAGUAACACGUGAGUAACCUGCCCUUGACUUUGGGAUAACUUUAGGAAACUGGGGCUAAUAUCGGAUAGGAGCUCCUGCUGCAUGGUGGGGGUUGGAAAGUUUCGGCGGUUGGGGAUGGACUCGCGGCUUAUCAGCUUGUUAGUGGGGUAGUGGCUUACCAAGGCUUUGACGGGUAGCCGGCCUGAGAGGGUGACCGGCCACAAUGGGACUGAGAUACGGCCCAGACUCCUACGGGAGGCAGCAGUGGGGAAUAUUGCACAAUGGGCGGAAGCCUGAUGCAGCAACGCCGCGUGCGGAAUGACGUCCUUCGGGUUGUAAACCGCUUUCGCCUGUGACGAAGCGUGAGUGACGGUAAUGGGUAAGAAAGCACCGGCUAACUACGUG